RNAcentral lists this ribosomal RNA (717 nucleotides) under uncultured bacterium. RNAcentral describes it as "bacterial SSU rRNA". It matches the Rfam family "Bacterial small subunit ribosomal RNA", at positions 59 to 777 of the family's 1533-position model. The record is from RNAcentral.
CAGUCGAACGAGGUAAUUUGAUUGAAGUUUUCGGAUGGAUUUCAAGAUACCCAGUGGCGGACGGGUGAGUAACGCGUGGGUAACCUGCCUCAUACAGGGGGAUAACGGUUAGAAAUGACUGCUAAUACCGCAUAAGCGCACAGUGCCGCAUGGUACGGUGUGAAAAACUCCGGUGGUAUGAGAUGGACCCGCGUCUGAUUAGCUAGUUGGUGGGGUAACGGCCCACCAAGGCGACGAUCAGUAGCCGACCUGAGAGGGUGACCGGCCACAUUGGGACUGAGACACGGCCCAGACUCCUACGGGAGGCAGCAGUGGGGGAUAUUGCACAAUGGAGGAAACUCUGAUGCAGCGACGCCGCGUGAGUGAAGAAGUAUUUCGGUAUGUAAAGCUCUAUCAGCAGGGAAGAAAAUGACGGUACCUGACUAAGAAGCCCCGGCUAACUACGUGCCAGCAGCCGCGGUAAUACGUAGGGGGCAAGCGUUAUCCGGAUUUACUGGGUGUAAAGGGAGCGUAGACGGUGACGCAAGUCUGAAGUGAAAUACCCGGGCUCAACCUGGGAACUGCUUUGGAAACUGUGUUGCUAGAGUGCUGGAGAGGUAAGCGGAAUUCCUAGUGUAGCGGUGAAAUGCGUAGAUAUUAGGAAGAACACCAGUGGCGAAGGCGGCUUACUGGACAGUAACUGACGUUGAGGCUCGAAAGCGUGGGGAGCAAACAGGA